This is a long non-coding RNA of Ochotona princeps (American pika), 402 nucleotides long. RefSeq lists it as uncharacterized. Lineage: Eukaryota; Metazoa; Chordata; Mammalia; Lagomorpha; Ochotonidae. The transcript has 2 exons. The record is from RefSeq and is a predicted model, not a curated record.
UAACAAAAGCUCUGCAAAUUAUGAUCAUCCCACAGUGAACAACGCAUCCCCUUGAGACUGCUGUGUUUGUAGUUGUGUAAGUCCAGGCACUCUGAGAAGUUACUGUGAAUACACCAUCAGGAAGUGUCGGUGGCUUUUCUCAGUCUUUCUUGCUAUUCCUCUUUGGAUUUUCCAAAAUGCUGGUCCAUCAUCAAUGAGACUUCUAUGAAAAGCAAAGAACCCUGGUGGACGUGAGAGUGAGGUGGGUCCAAGGGCCGAGCCCCCUCUCUAGGUCUAACAGCCUUUUUUAGGAGAGUGUGCUUGCUCUUCUGAAAGCUCAGGCUACCUGCACUUCCCUUUGUCCAACUCCACAGAAGCACCUUCACCAAAUGCACAAUUGAUGAAUGAACAUGUAAGAAAGCA